This 497-nucleotide ribosomal RNA is filed under the name uncultured bacterium. RNAcentral's name for it is "partial 16S ribosomal RNA". It matches the Rfam family "Bacterial small subunit ribosomal RNA", at positions 28 to 507 of the family's 1533-position model. The record is from RNAcentral.
GAUGAACGCUGGCGGCGUGCCUAAUACAUGCAAGUCGAGCGAACAGACGAGGAGCUUGCUCCUCUGACGUUAGCGGCGGACGGGUGAGUAACACGUGGAUAACCUACCUAUAAGACUGGGAUAACUUCGGGAAACCGGAGCUAAUACCGGAUAAUAUAUUGAACCGCAUGGUUCAAUAGUGAAAGACGGUUUUGCUGUCACUUAUGGAUGGAUCCGCGCCGCAUUAGCUAGUUGGUAAGGUAGCGGCUUACCAAGGCAACGAUGCGUAGCCGACCUGAGAGGGUGAUCGGCCACACUGGAACUGAGACACGGUCCAGACUCCUACGGGAGGCAGCAGUAGGGAAUCUUCCGCAAUGGGCGAAAGCCUGACGGAGCAACGCCGCGUGAGUGAUGAAGGUCUUCGGAUCGUAAAACUCUGUUAUUAGGGAAGAACAAAUGUGUAAGUAACUAUGCACGUCUUGACGGUACCUAAUCAGAAAGCCACGGCUAACUACGUG